UCCAGACUCCUACGGGAGGCAGCAGUGGGGAAUAUUGCACAAUGGGGGAAACCCUGAUGCAGCAACGCCGCGUGAGUGAAGAAGUAUUUCGGUAUGUAAAGCUCUAUCAGCAGGGAAGAAGAUGACGGUACCUGAUUAAGAAGCCCCGGCUAACUACGUGCCAGCAGCCGCGGUAAUACGUAGGGGGCAAGCGUUAUCCGGAUUUACUGGGUGUAAAGGGGGCGCAGACGGCAGCGCAAGCCAGGAGUGAAAGCCCGGGGCCCAACCCCGGGACUGCUCUUGGAACUGCGCGGCUGGAGUGCAGGAGGGGCAGGCGGAAUUCCUGGUGUAGCGGUGAAAUGCGUAGAUAUCAGGAGGAACACCAGUGGCGAAGGCGGUUUACUGGACCACAACUGACGCUGAGACACGAAAGCGUGGGGAGCAAACAGGAUUAGAUACCCCUGUA
RNAcentral lists this ribosomal RNA (445 nucleotides) under uncultured bacterium. Its description in RNAcentral is "partial 16S ribosomal RNA". It matches the Rfam family "Bacterial small subunit ribosomal RNA", at positions 330 to 792 of the family's 1533-position model. The record is from RNAcentral.